RNAcentral lists this ribosomal RNA (642 nucleotides) under Betaproteobacteria bacterium. RNAcentral describes it as "bacterial SSU rRNA". It matches the Rfam family "Bacterial small subunit ribosomal RNA", at positions 338 to 968 of the family's 1533-position model. Lineage: Bacteria; Pseudomonadati; Pseudomonadota; Betaproteobacteria. The record is from RNAcentral.
CCUACGGGAGGCAGCAGUGGGGAAUUUUGGACAAUGGGCGCAAGCCUGAUCCAGCAAUGCCGCGUGCGGGAAGAAGGCCUUCGGGUUGUAAACCGCUUUUGUACGGAACGAAAAGGCUCUGGCUAAUACCUGGGGCUGAUGACGGUACCGUAAGAAUAAGCACCGGCUAACUACGUGCCAGCAGCCGCGGUAAUACGUAGGGUGCGAGCGUUAAUCGGAAUUACUGGGCGUAAAGCGUGCGCAGGCGGUCUUGUAAGACAGAGGUGAAAUCCCUGGGCUCAACCUAGGAAUGGCCUUUGUGACUGCAAGGCUGGAGUGCGGCAGAGGGGGAUGGAAUUCCGCGUGUAGCGGUGAAAUGCGUAGAGAUGCGGAGGAAUACCGAUGGCGAAGGCAGUCCCCUGGGCCGGCGACUGACGCUCAGGUACGAAAGCGUGGGGAGCAAAACAGGAUUAGAUACCCUGGUAGUCCACGCCCUAAACGAUGUCGACUGGGAGGUUGGGCCCUUGAUGGCGUCGCUUCCGGAGCUAACGCGUUAAGUCGACCGCCCUGGGGAGUACGGCCGCAAGGUUAAAACUCAAAUGAAUUGACGGGGGCCCGCACAAGCGGUGGAGCAUGUGGUUUAAUUCGAUGCAACGCGAAGAA